Molecule: ribosomal RNA, 227 nt
Filed under: uncultured bacterium
Lineage: Bacteria
Description: partial 16S ribosomal RNA
Rfam family: Bacterial small subunit ribosomal RNA
Source: RNAcentral
ACGGAGGGUGCAAGCGUUAAUCGGAAUUACUGGGCGUAAAGCGCGCGUAGGUGGUUUGAUAAGCGAGAUGUGAAAGCCCCGGGCUUAACCUGGGAACGGCAUUUCGAACUGUCAGGCUAGAGUAUGGUAGAGGAGUGUGGAAUUUCCUGUGUUAGCGGUGGAAAUGACGUAGAUAUAGGAAGGAACGACCAGUGGCGGAAGGCGCACUCUGGACCAAUACUGGACCA